UACAUUGUUGAAUGUUUACUGACGUCAUCAACAAAACUCCUGCAACACAGACGUGAAGAAACAGAACGGAACAGAGAACAGUCUGCAACCAACAAUUUGAAAGAGAACAUAAUUUUAUAAGAUGGAAAAUAACUUUACAGCUGAUGCGAACAGCACCGAAGUCGCCAAAACCUUGAAUUCAUGUGUCGUACUUGGAACCUUAUCGCUGACUAUUUAUGUGGUGCUGAAUCUAUAUCUCAUAUACUUCCUAAUAGCAGGAAUUUUGGGCCUGAAGAAGACUUCUCAUGAAUCACCACAUAAUUCGACACUGAUUACGAUAAGUGCAGAUUCCAACACAGAUAUCACCAACAAUUCCACCACUAACAGUACAUCACCAACAAUUUCUACACGAGAAGAAGUACCCUUGACAGAAAUUGCAUUUGUUGUCAUUUCUCUCAUGAUUGUGUCAUUAUUAUUGCUAUAUUUAGGGAUAUACAUUAUAACUUAUUAGCGGAAUAAGACUACUCGUGAAUCGCCACAUAAUUCUACACUGAGUACGAUAAGUGCAAUUAAUUCCACCACUAAUAGUACAUCACCGACACUUUUCACACGAGCAAACGAAUAACUAUCAUCGCCACACCACGUAUCAGCAGAAACAAAUAUAAUCCACGCAGAAGACACCGCAGACAUCUCUUCCUGUGAGGAAGACAGUUAGUCUCAGAGAAAAAUGGCCACAUGUUGGGACACGCAGUAAAAUAGGUCCUAAAUCGUACUCAAGUUCGAUCUACGGGGGACCCGUUCGUCCUAGGGAACAUCGGCGGCACGUUGAGCCUAAGAGGCCUCCAACCCUGUAGUCGUACUUUUAGAAGAUCUUCUCUGAUGGUGAUGUUCACAUCCCCAUGUUGUCAGAUAACAAUGCUACAAUAUCUCAAGCUCAUUUGUUGUCGGCUUCAAGUGGCCAUCAUGUGAUCGAGUAGGGUCCAGUCUUCGUCAGCAACUCACGUGUGUAGUCUCAGUAGUGCACGGGAGAUCUCAUCUAGCUCGAGUCGGGAGUUUCGGAUGUCCUGGAGGAGUGUGCUAAAGACCACUCCAAUCCACGAGAGCGUGAAUCUUACCCGGGGUGAUCUAGAUUGGACCCCUGGUGCACUUGUGGGAAAACUGAAAUGCAGCCCAGAAGAUGGUAUCAGAAUUUGAAGACACAGAAAGACCAUAUUAAGCGAUAAAGCGUAGUCGUUUCUUUAAAACGUUGUGAACAGUUGUUCUACAGAACACUUCGGCACUGAUUUCUUCGGGCUACGCAGAUAACUUGCUCGCACAGCUUCAGUGGUAUCGUCAGACCCUGAUGGUCGUCCUGGACGUGACUGCUUCAGUAGGCUGCCCGUUUGUCUGAGUUGUUGGUCAAAACGGCGAAUGUUAUUUUCGUGUGGUAGUUCUUCAUUAAACACACGGCGGUAUUCACGCCUAACAAGUGUAACUGACUCAAAAUUAGCAAGCCAAAAAGCACAUUGAACCUUCCUCUGCACCGUAAUCAUGGCGACUAAGAAGCUUCACACGGCUAUUGACCUUGUAACACAGCGCGCAUGCGCUUGCGCUAGAUCCUGUGUACGUAUCGAAACAUUAGAGAGUUUCUCUUUAUUUUAACGUUUAUUUCAUGUCUCUAACGUGUUUUGUUCCAAAACAUCCAACAGCUGCUCAGCUACUCUAGAAAUUUCCAACAUUUUAUGGUAACCAGAGGUUUAUUACAGUGUUCACAGAAGACUAUCACUGGUCCCUAUCCUAAACCAAACUACUCGAGUGUGUACCACCCUAUUCUAUUUCUCUAAGACCCAUCUUAGUAUUAUGCACACACCUGCUUCUAGGUCUUCCGAGUAGUCUCUUUCCUUCUGGUUUGCCCACCGAAAUCCUCCCCAUGGUGGCUAUAAGCCCCGCCCAUCCCUUUAUUAAAUAUUGUUUUUCAUUACUGUUAUUAUCUUAAUAAUAAUUAAGAUACUAGAUGUAACAGAGUUCUUCUAGAGAUAUCAUUUGCUACGCUAGUCAAAAAAUUCGCUAGAUAACCUAGAGACCCUACUAGAAUUGCAUUUCUUAAUUAUAUAAAGGUAUUUUCCAUAUCAUAUUUCUUAUUAAAAGUUAAGAUUACAUUUAUGUUUGCAUUUAGGUUUUCGAAGUCUUUGUUCAUUUGUGUGAAAAAUGGAGAUAUUUUACCCUCGAACGAAAUAAAAAUGUAAUCAAAGUUCUUGCCAAUUUUCUUGACUCUAACGCUCUUAUAGUUUCUAUAAACUUUUCCAAUAUGCGUUAACGCAGUUUACAAAUUUACUUCGACGACGUUUUUGUUUGACGUAUACUGUUGCGACGCUAAUACUUACAUUCAUUCGAGGCGUGCGGGAGAGAAA
This is a non-coding RNA of Zootermopsis nevadensis, 2369 nucleotides long. NCBI's taxonomy places the organism in Eukaryota, Metazoa, Arthropoda, Insecta, Blattodea, Termopsidae. The record is from RefSeq and is a predicted model, not a curated record.